UAUGGUAAUUGUGUGCCAGCCUCUUCUUUACUACGUAUGGUGCAAGCGUUAUCCGGAUUUACUGGGUGUAAAGGGAGCGCAGGCGGUGCGGCAAGUCUGAUGUGAAAGCCCGGGGCUCAACCCCGGUACUGCAUUGGAAACUGUCGUACUAGAGUGUCGGAGGGGUAAGUGGAAUUCCUAGUGUAGCGGUGAAAUGCGUAGAUAUUAGGAGGAACACCAGUGGCGAAGGCGGCUUACUGGACGAUAACUGACGCUGAGGCUCGAAAGCGUGGGGAGCGAACAGG
Molecule: ribosomal RNA, 284 nt
Filed under: Roseburia faecis M72/1
Lineage: Bacteria; Bacillati; Bacillota; Clostridia; Lachnospirales; Lachnospiraceae
Description: partial 16S ribosomal RNA
Rfam family: Bacterial small subunit ribosomal RNA
Source: RNAcentral